Molecule: signal recognition particle RNA, 91 nt
Filed under: uncultured Butyrivibrio sp.
Lineage: Bacteria; Bacillati; Bacillota; Clostridia; Lachnospirales; Lachnospiraceae
Description: Bacterial small signal recognition particle RNA
Rfam family: Bacterial small signal recognition particle RNA
About the family: The signal recognition particle (SRP) is a universally conserved ribonucleoprotein involved in the co-translational targeting of proteins to membranes. Archaeal SRP consists of a 7S RNA and homologues of the eukaryotic SRP19 and SRP54 proteins.
Source: RNAcentral
CGGGUCUUGCGCAAUAGGAAUCCGUGAACCAUGUCAGGUCGGGAACGAAGCAGCAUUAAACGGAAUCUCUUAUGUGCCGCAAGGGUGCCUG